CUUUUAAAUUAAAAGCCUACCUAUUCUCCCAGGGGGCAUGCAUUCUAUGGAGACAGAGCUGAAUGUGUGCCAUCGAAAGACCAAAAUCAAGCAACAUUUUAAAAAGAAAACAGACUCUUCUGGGAAAAAUGGUGACUCCACAAAGUAAGAAGCCACCAAGACUUGUAGGACAUUCCUUCAUCUUCUCCUGGGUGGGGCAACCCAGCCAUAGAUAUAUGCCUCCAAUCAGCAUAAAUGCCCAUUGCUUGAUAAAGUCAACACAUGUGUAAGAUGACAUAUUGCAGGCAUCUGUCACAUCAAGCAAGGUUUGAAAAAGAAACAACUGGAGAAUUUUACUUAUGUGGAUGAAAAAGCAAACAGAAGUCAGUUCAGCAUGAAAGUCACAUGCUUUGGGGAUUGUAGCAUUGUGUUCUCCUGUAGGAGGUGAUCCAUUGUCAUUUAUCAGAAUCCAUCUUCACUCAAAAGGC
Molecule: non-coding RNA, 467 nt
Filed under: Pongo abelii (Sumatran orangutan)
Lineage: Eukaryota; Metazoa; Chordata; Mammalia; Primates; Hominidae
Source: RNAcentral